Molecule: long non-coding RNA, 799 nt
Organism: Lycium ferocissimum
Lineage: Eukaryota; Viridiplantae; Streptophyta; Magnoliopsida; Solanales; Solanaceae
Exons: 2
Source: RefSeq, a predicted model, not a curated record
ACCCCCUAGGUGAAAAUCCUGGCUCCACCACUGCAUAUAGUGCCAAAGCCUUCUGAAAAUCUCCAACCAUGUUUUGAUUAGUUAUAAGGAUUAGGCCUCAUUUGUUUGCACUUAAUGUGGGUCUGAAUCUGAAUGGUUAAGAUUUCAGCCCAUUAAGUGCAUUUGUUUUUUUUUUAAAAUAAUCUCUUAAUAGGUCUAGUAACGUCUGAUUCGGUCAGAUGUAUGGAAGAGUCUGAACACUAUUCAGACUCUUUUUAAAGCCCUAUUUUAUUUUCCUAAAAAUCUCUAACGCCGUUUUUUUCUGCCUAUUUACGCUUGAAGCCUCUCUCUUUCUCUAAUAGCUCGGCUCUAUCUCUCUUUCUCCUGUUUCUUCAAGUAACAGUCGGCUGAAAUUCUUUGCUCUAUUGUUAAUAAUUUUAUCAAGAAGGAGCGCAUCAAUGAUGACUUAUUUAGUCAAUUUGAUACGCCUCAAAUAAUUUUUGAUGAAGAAGGACAACAAGAAGAAGCAUUGGAUGAAACAAAUGGACCUAGUUGGACAGCUGAAGAUUCUCAGAUAAUGACCGAUAUGCGGGAGCAACUUGCACUCCAACUAAUGCAAAGAAGAUGAAAUACUUGAGAGUUCCAUAUUUAAGUUAUUUGAACUUUUUUCCUCCAGUGUUGGAAUGUUAAAAUUUGAUGAUUCUUAGUUAGUUAUUCAAAUACUCUAAUAUUUAUGCUUUUAAAUCAUAACUAUAUUUGAGAUAUUAUUUUGCUUUGUUGAAUAAGUUUGAUUAAUAGAUUAAUUUAUGUUGAAUUUAAA